ACGAGGGUGACAGGUGGUGCAUGGUUGUCGUCAGCUCGUGUCGUGAGAUGUUGGGUUAAGUCCCGCAACGAGCGCAACCCUCGCCUCUAGUUGCCAGCAUUCGGUUGGGCACUCUAGAGGGACUGCCGGCGACAAGUCGGAGGAAGUGGGGAUGACGUCAAAUCAUCAUGCCCCUUAUGACCUGGGCUACACACGUGCUACAAUGGGCGGUACAAAGGGCUGCGAACCCGCGAGGGGGAGCGAAUCCCAAAAAGCCGCUCUCAGUUCGGAUUGCAGGCUGCAACUCGCCUGCAUGAAGCCGGAAUCGCUAGUAAUCGCGGAUCAGCAUGCCGCGGUGAAUACGUUCCCGGGCCUU
RNAcentral lists this ribosomal RNA (355 nucleotides) under uncultured Geobacillus sp. RNAcentral describes it as "bacterial SSU rRNA". It matches the Rfam family "Bacterial small subunit ribosomal RNA", at positions 1025 to 1382 of the family's 1533-position model. The record is from RNAcentral. Lineage: Bacteria; Bacillati; Bacillota; Bacilli; Caryophanales; Anoxybacillaceae.